CCCUACGGGGUGCACCAGGCAGCUCCUGCCUUUGGAGCCAUUGCGGGAGGAGUUGUCUGGUAUGUGCUGCAUAUCUGGAAUAUCCUCUAGAGCCUCAAAAGCACCCGGUCAAUAAGUCAGGCCGAGAAUCUGGAUCAUAGGAGCACAUGAAAAAAUGAAGAUCUUCGGAAUCUUUGGCGAUCCAAUCGAGCACAGCCUCUCUCCAGCCAUGCAGAAUGCCGCCUUUCGGGCCCUGGGCAUGGAUGGAUGCUAUCAUGCCUUUCGCGUCAGCCGGUCCAGGCUUAAAGAUGCAGUCAUUGGAGCAGAUGCUAUGGGAUUUGGCGGACUGAAUUUGACCAUUCCUCUCAAGGAGGAGGCUUUGAGCCUGGAUUUUCUGGAGGCAGAUGAUCUGGCCAGAGCGAUUGGAGCGGUAAACACCAUAUCCUUGUCUGGAGAGGCGGGAGGGC
Molecule: ribosomal RNA, 446 nt
Filed under: uncultured prokaryote
Description: partial 16S ribosomal RNA
Source: RNAcentral